Molecule: long non-coding RNA, 1923 nt
Filed under: Cavia porcellus (domestic guinea pig)
Lineage: Eukaryota; Metazoa; Chordata; Mammalia; Rodentia; Caviidae
Description: lncRNA (ENSCPOG00000040004.1)
Source: RNAcentral
CUUCAGGCUGCUGGAUGGCCCUAAAAUUGUCCUGAGAACUUGACCUUGGCAAUGACCACGGAAACCAGAUACCAUCUGUCCUCACCUGAGCUGUAUCAGAAGUCAGCCAGAGACUACAACCAAACCCUUCCUGAGAACGGAAGUGCUGCUUUAGAAGACACUGGCUCACCUGAAUGGGCAGCUGUCCCCAGAGAGAGGAGGACCAGAAAGAGGGCUAAAGUGGCCUCCCACACACAAAGGGAGGAAAUGCUCCCCAUCCCCUUCCUGGAACAGCUGCACCAGGGGAUGCGUUCUAUGGAAGGAAGGAAGAGGAAGCUGCAACGAAGACAGCAAUAACAGAGAAGCCAAACACUCAAGAGAAAGCAGAAGGAAAGAAGAACUGGGACCUCAAAUUACCAAUUGUUGGGCCUUUAUGAGGAAGCAGAAAGGAAGACCAACUUGUAAAGAUUCCUGCAGUCCUGCAGUCUGAGGAUACCUUUGGGUUGGAGGAUUUUGAAUGAGAAAUGUUUGGCAGCCUGGGCAGUGUGCUUCUUUCAACACACAGAUGUUCAGAAUAGGUCUGCGUGUGUUGAUGUGGGAGGAUUCCCUCAACUUGAAACAAAAGGCUCUCUAGUAUGGGCAGAUAUUCACAAAAAAUACAUCUUACAUUUAUAUGUAGCAAUGAAGUAAUAAAUAUACAUAACUGUCCAUAUACACAAAGGAAAAACAUGAAGAACAUCCACACAUAACUCUUUUUUUUCUUUUUUCUUUUUUUGUACAAGGAAUCAAUCAGAUCUCACACUCACAAGACAGGCACUGUGCCACUGAGCUACAUCCCCAGCCCAACUCUUAAUGGUGAUUCCAUCUGAGAAGGCAGGGGUAGGCCAGGAAUGGAGAUGCACAUGCAGCUACCUUUUUAUUUACAAUGAGUAGCUGUUCUUUCCCCCUCAGAAAAGGUUUUUCAUACACAGCUGGCUAUUUUUUUGUUCCUAAUGAAUGGAGUUGCCAAUCCUUGCGUGAGGAAAUCAAAUGUGGUUGCAAAGUGGCACCUCUUUGCAUAUGAUGCCAGUGAUGAGACCCCGCCCGCACUCACUCUGACUCAGGAAUUGGCUGGUAGCAGCUCACUAAUGAUGUUACUGGUGCCAGGUCUCUGCUUGCCGUCUUCUUCUAGUGACAUCAGUGUUCACUUUCAGCAAAUGCACUGGCUUAGACUAUCCUGUUGAAGAACGUAGUCUGCAGCUGUGCCCCCUAAUGCCAGCAUCACCAUGGCCUCCAAAAGAAUGAAUUUGGAGGGGCUGGGGAUUUAGCUCAGCGGCAUACGCACCUGCCUUGCAAGCAGGCGGUCAUGAGUUUGAUCCCUGGUACCGAUAAAAAAAAAAAAGAAUGGAUUUGGCCUGCCUCUGUGCUCUACCUCUCUACCAUUUCUGUUUCCCACAUCAAGGAAUUCUCCAACAGUACACGUAAAAUCGAUGGAGGAAACACAGCUCUUCCCAUUUGGUCUUUUACACUGCUUCCACCUGUCUUUCUAAGAAACAGAACCUCCAGUGUUUUUAAAUAGGAGGGACAGUGAUUUGUGUUAGAUCGUCCCAUUGGUAGGAAGCAAGGUCAACCCCAAAUGAGUGGAUCUCAACCUUUGCAUAUUAGAGUCACCUAUUGGCUUUUAUAACACACCCAUCAUCUGUACUUACACAGCUAGUUGAACCUAACCUCAGGACCUAAAUAUCAAAAAGUAGAAACUUUCCAUGGGUGACUUUGUUACAUAGAAAACUGUACCACCACUGCAAUCCAUGGGUAAAAAUAAACCAAUCUUACUAAAAAUUGCCAUGUGUUAUGCACUGGCAGGGUUCAAAACUGAUGUGGUUAAGAACUACUGUGGUUGCACAUCUCUAAUUCCAACACUUGGGAGGCUAUGGCAGAAGGAUUGCAAGAUCAAGUCUAGCCUGG